AAUGUUUAUACCCAAAGAAAGUUAUAAAUACCCAAAGGGAUUAAAAACAUGUGUGAGUAUAUUUUCAAUGGGUAAAAAGAAUAAUUUUUGUGCGUAAGUUAUAAGUUUCCGGACAUGAUGAAAUCAUUACUGCGCAGAAGAUCACCACGUGUUUAUGAAGACAAGCCGUGAAAGUUAGUCAACAUUUUCUUUCCCUGUCUCAUCCAGUGUCAUCCAGACAACAAUCAGAUAAUACAAACGAACAAUUUAACCUAAGUGAGAUGUCCCGAAAGAGUCUAUUUCGAGGCGCUCAAGAGAGUGAGAACCCAUCCAAUCAGGACAGGCAACAACUUGUCACAAGCCACACCACUGGUGAUACAAAGGUACCAGUUGAGAAUGAGAAAGUCACACAUAGUGGAACUCCAGCCAUUCAAGGU
Long non-coding RNA from Haliotis rufescens (red abalone), 416 nucleotides. RefSeq lists it as uncharacterized. The transcript has 4 exons. The record is from RefSeq and is a predicted model, not a curated record. NCBI's taxonomy places the organism in Eukaryota, Metazoa, Mollusca, Gastropoda, Lepetellida, Haliotidae.